Molecule: ribosomal RNA, 489 nt
Filed under: uncultured bacterium
Lineage: Bacteria
Description: partial 16S ribosomal RNA
Rfam family: Bacterial small subunit ribosomal RNA
Source: RNAcentral
GACGAACGCUGGCGGCGUGCUUAACACAUGCAAGUCGAACGGAAAGGCCCUGCUUUUGUGGGGUGCUCGAGUGGCGAACGGGUGAGUAACACGUGAGUAACCUGCCCUUGACUUUGGGAUAACUUCAGGAAACUGGGGCUAAUACCGGAUAGGAGCUCCUGCUGCAUGGUGGGGGUUGGAAAGUUUCGGCGGUUGGGGAUGGACUCGCGGCUUAUCAGCUUGUUGGUGGGGUAGUGGGUUACCAAGGCGAUGACGCGUAGCCGACAUGAGAGGGUGACAGGCCACAUUGGGACGGAGACAAGGCCCAAACUACUACGGGAGGCAGCAGUAGGGAAUCGUCGGCAAUGGACGAAAGUCUGAACGAGACAGGCCGCGGGAGUGAAGAAGGUUUUCGGAUCGUAAAACUCUGUUGGUAGAGAAGAACGUUGGUGAGAGUGGAAAGCUCAGCAAGUGACGGUAACUACAAAGAAAGGGACGGCUAACUACGUG